RNAcentral lists this long non-coding RNA (261 nucleotides) under Capra hircus (goat). RNAcentral describes it as "lncRNA (ENSCHIG00010026960.1)". The record is from RNAcentral. Lineage: Eukaryota; Metazoa; Chordata; Mammalia; Artiodactyla; Bovidae.
ACCGUGAAAAUAGAUAGGUAGAUGGAAUCUCAUUUAAAUUAUGAACUUUCCUUCAUUGAAUGACAACAUUAAGACAGAGAAAAGACAAGCCUCAUUGAGAGAAAAAGUUUGUAAUACAUACAUACAACAAACAAUUUGGAUCAGGAGUUCCUUACAAGUCAAUAGUAACAAUUCAUAAACUAAGAGAAAAAUGGAGAAAAGGAUUCAGCAGACACUCCAUAAAGGAGAUAAUUGGAAGUUGUGAGACAAAAAUCAUGUCAG